This 64-nucleotide transfer RNA is filed under the name Extensus latus. Its description in RNAcentral is "tRNA-Leu". The record is from RNAcentral. Lineage: Eukaryota; Metazoa; Arthropoda; Insecta; Hemiptera; Cicadellidae.
UCUAAUAUGGCAGAAUAGUGCAAUGAAUUUAAGAUUCAUAUAUAAAUAUACAUAUAUUUUUUUA